Molecule: ribosomal RNA, 355 nt
Filed under: uncultured bacterium
Lineage: Bacteria
Description: partial 16S ribosomal RNA
Rfam family: Bacterial small subunit ribosomal RNA
Source: RNAcentral
CCUACGGGUGGCAGCAGUGGGGAAUAUUGCGCAAUGGGCGAAAGCCUGACGCAGCGACGCCGCGUGAGGGAUGAAGGUCUUCGGAUCGUAAACCUCUGUCAGCAGGGAAGAACGGUCACUGUGCUAAUCAGCAGUGAAUUGACGGUACCUGCAAAGGAAGCACCGGCUAACUCCGUGCCAGCAGCCGCGGUAAUACGGAGGGUGCGAGCGUUAAUCGGAAUUACUGGGCGGAAAGCGCUCGUAGGCGGUAUGUCAAGUCAAGGGUGAAAUCCCCGCGCUCAACGUGGGAACUGCCUUUGAAUAGGGAAGACGGGAGUGUGUGAGAGGAGAGUGGAAUUCGGGGUGUAGGGGUGAA